UAAAUUAAGGUAGAAGUACUAGUGCUCGACGCUGCACUAGUAUUCGACAUGGGCACUUUAUGUCAAAGUGACAAGGAUUAAAUUUGAAUACAGAAAAAUCUUCGCUGUUCAAAUUUAACCUAUAUUACUUUGACAUAAAGUGCCCAUGUCGAAUACUAGUGCAGCGUCAAGCACUAGUACUUCUACCUUAUUUCUUUUACAAUAAUUUAAAUUUCAGCUGCAAACCAGAUUCAGAUCAGAUCUUCACAUGCCAGAGUACCUCUGUCAACAUCAAACAGUGAAAAUGCACAAACUUCAGCUACUGCAUCUACGAGUACAGGCCAAGCUUGUCUGAAAUCUGGAAUAAGCAUUCGACCGGAUAAAGCGGCAAUACCAGCGAAACGCCCCCGCUUUGCUGACAAACAACCUGGCGGAUCUAGGGAUUCUCUAGUUCAGCGGUCGGCAACAAGCGGCCCGCGAGCCCCCCUGGCUAUUUUGUAUGUAAUAUUGUCAAACAACAAUGUCUGAUUAAAGUCACACAUAUUAACAAAAGUGCGGCCCGCGUCAACUUCCUUAACUACUAUGUGGCCCUUGGCUGCUAAAAGGUUGCCGACCGCUGCUCUAGUUUACGCAGCGAGCAAAUCAAAAGACUAGAUUACAAUACAACGAAGAAAGAAUUGCUGAAGAAGCUCAUGAAAGUGAAAUCGAGUUUACUUUAUUAAGAGUCUGCCUAAUAGGUAGCUUAGGACUUUAACCAGAUAAAUUGUUUUUAAAUCCAUCUUUGAAACAUGGUAUCAAAGAGAAUUUUGAAUAGAGAGUUACUGUCAUGGUAAAUUAUG
Cydia splendana is the source of this 818-nucleotide long non-coding RNA. RefSeq lists it as uncharacterized. Lineage: Eukaryota; Metazoa; Arthropoda; Insecta; Lepidoptera; Tortricidae. The record is from RefSeq and is a predicted model, not a curated record. The transcript has 4 exons.